GGGAAUUGGAUGUAUGCUGCAAAAUUAGAUGGUGAAGGAGCUGCAAUGUAUGAUGCUGCUGUUGCUCUUUCUGAAGCUAUGAUUGAACUUGGGAUUGCAAUUGAUGGGGGGAAAGAUAGUCUUUCCAUGGCAGCCCACUCAUCGGAGGAAGUUGUUAAAGCUCCAGGGAAUCUAGUCAUCAGUACCUAUGUGACAUGUCCUGAUAUAACAAAGACUGUUACUCCAGACUUGAAGCUUGGAGAUGAUGGUGUGCUGCUUCAUAUUGAUUUGGCCAGAGGAAAACGACGACUCGGUGGAUCUGCUCUUGCCCAGGUGUUUGAUCAAAUUGGAGAUGAAAGUCCUGAUUUGGAUGAUGUCUCUUAUCUUAAAACUGUUUUUAAUGAGGUUCAGAACCUAAUCUCUGAUGAGUUGAUAUCUGCGGGUCAUGAUAUCAGUGAUGGGGGGCUCAUAGUGAAUGCUCUUGAAAUGGCAUUUGCAGGGAACUGUGGCAUUCGUUUGGAUUUAACCUCUUCUGGGAGCACUAUACCUGAAACAGUUUUUGCAGAGGAGCUUGGCCUUCUCAUUGAAGUUAGCAAGAAAAACGUGGAUUUAGUUCUGGAAAAGCUCCACCAUGGUGAUGUUUCUGCUAAUAUCAUCGGUCAAGUUACUUCAUCUCCGAUGGUUGAAUUGAAGGUUGAUGGGGUUACACAUUUGAAUGAGGAAACUUCUGUGCUCAGGGAUAUGUGGGAAGAGACUAGCUUUCAACUGGAAAAGUUCCAAAGACUGGAUUCAUGUGUAGAAUUAGAAAAAGAAGGGUUAAAAAAUCGGCAUGAACCUUCGUGGAAACUAUCUUUCACGCCAACAUUUACUGAUGAUAAGUAUAUGACUGCCAUUUCAAAGCCAAAGGUUGCAGUUAUCCGGGAGGAAGGCAGCAAUGGUGAUAGAGAAAUGUCUGCAGCCUUUUCUGCUGCUGGAUUUGAACCAUGGGAUGUUGCAAUGUCAGACCUUCUCAAUGGAUUCAUCACACUGGAUGAAUUUAGAGGAAUUGUGUUUGUUGGAGGUUUUAGUUAUGCUGAUGUACUUGAUUCUGCCAAAGGCUGGGGAGCGUCCAUUCGCUUUAAUGAGCCUCUUCUAAAUCAAUUUCAGGCAUUUUAUAACCGUCCGGACACUUUCAGCCUCGGAGUUUGCAAUGGGUGCCAACUUAUGGCUCUAUUGGGUUGGGUGCCAGGGCCCCAAGUAGGAGGUGUUUUUGGUGCCGGAGGGGAUCCAUCACAGCCAAGGUUCAUACAUAAUGAGUCUGGAAGGUUUGAAUGUCGUUUCACGAAUGUGACAAUAGAAGAAACACCAGCCAUAAUGUUCAAAGGUAUGGAAGGUAGUACAUUAGGUGUUUGGGCUGCUCAUGGUGAAGGAAGAGCUUAUUUCCCUGAUGAUAGUAUUUUCAAUCAUAUUCUUGGCUCCAACUUGGCGCCAGUGAAGUAUUGCAAUGAUGAUGGCACACCAACAGAAGUAUAUCCUUUCAAUCCUAACGGUUCUCCUCUGGGUGUAGCCGCAAUUUGUUCUCCAGAUGGUAGACAUCUCGCGAUGAUGCCUCAUCCAGAACGCUGUUUCUUGAUGUGGCAGUAUCCAUGGUAUCCUAAAAAUUGGGAUGUUGAAAAGAAAGGCCCAAGCCCCUGGUUGCGAAUGUUUCAAAAUGCCAGAGAAUGGUGCUCAUAAGAUCUUUCAAAAAUUCCAAAGGCGUGAUAUUUGUGUUUGACAAACGACAUAGAAGGCACUGAAGGUGCAGAGAUUGAGAUUCUUGCAAUUUGGUUGCAGAUACGACGGGACAAACUAAUGAGUCUUUCGUCAUUCUUAUCGCGCCUUUCAUCAUUCUCAAGAAUAUAUUUGGUUCUAAUACCAAGUAUUUUGAUGAAUCAAAUGCGUAACUGAAACUACGAGCGCAGUUCCUUGGACAAUUCUGCUGUCUUUUUGACACUAUUAUGGUUCACCCAUCAAAAUCUGUCCUUAAUAUGCAGAGACUCACUCAAUUUUAGCAACUUAUUUUUAUCCUUUAGUCUAAGAUUAAGUGCACUUGUCCUUCACAAAUU
RNAcentral lists this unclassified non-coding RNA (2063 nucleotides) under Hevea brasiliensis (rubber tree). The record is from RNAcentral. Lineage: Eukaryota; Viridiplantae; Streptophyta; Magnoliopsida; Malpighiales; Euphorbiaceae.